Molecule: ribosomal RNA, 445 nt
Filed under: uncultured bacterium
Lineage: Bacteria
Description: partial 16S ribosomal RNA
Rfam family: Bacterial small subunit ribosomal RNA
Source: RNAcentral
GUGAGGAAUAUUGCGCAAUGGAGGCAACUCUGACGCAGCCAUGCCGCGUGCAGGAAGAAGGCGCUACGCGUUGUAAACUGCUUUUAACCGGGAAGAAACCCCAGGACGUGUCCUGGGUUGACGGUACCGGAGGAAUAAGCACCGGCUAACUUCGUACCAGCAGCCGCGGUAAUACGAAGGGUGCAAGCGUUAUCCGGAUUCAUUGGGUUUAAAGGGUGCGUAGGCGGAGCGUUAAGUCAGUGGUGAAAUCCUGCAGCUUAACUGUAGACUUGCCAUUGAUACUGGCGCUCUUGAGUGCGCUUGAAGUGGGCGGAAUGUGCCGUGUAGCGGUGAAAUGCUUAGAUAUGGCACAGAACACCAAUUGCGAAGGCAGCUCACUAAGGCGAUACUGACGCUGAGGCACGAAAGCGUGGGGAUCGAACAGGAUUAGAAACCCGGGUAGUCC